UACGUAGGGGGCAAGCGUUGUCCGGAUUUAUUGGGCGUAAAGAGCGUGUAGGCGGCCGUACAGGUCAGCUGUGAAAACUCGAGGCUCAACCUCGAGACGUCGGUUGAAACCGUACGGCUAGAGUCCGGAAGAGGAGAGUGGAAUUCCCGGUGUAGCGGUGAAAUGCGUAGAUAUCUGGAGGAACACCGGUGGCGAAGGCGGCGUCCUGGACCAACACUGACACUGAUGAGCGAAAGCCAGGGGAGCAAACGGG
This 253-nucleotide ribosomal RNA is filed under the name uncultured bacterium. Its description in RNAcentral is "partial 16S ribosomal RNA". It matches the Rfam family "Bacterial small subunit ribosomal RNA", at positions 524 to 776 of the family's 1533-position model. The record is from RNAcentral.